AUGUUUUUCUCCAGUUUGAAACCCAGCACCAUUCCAUAUGUGACUAUCUCUGUAUCAAGGAAUACACCCAAGUACAUAGCAGAAACAGCAACUGGGGAGAACCAUGGCAGUUGUGGAAGAGGUGAGAUUCUAAUGCUUUUUGUGGGUGGGGUGAAAAGCUAAGAUGAACAGACAAAAGACUGAAAAAGAAAUAAAAGGAAAGGGUUAUGAGGACUUUAUUUGGAAGGUUACAAAUGUUCACUUAAAAUGAUAUAUUUAUGAAGAGUGGAAGAGUAAGCUGCCUCCAGGUCUUGGGAUAACCAAAUCGUGUCCAUUUCCCUCUCAGGGUAAAAAGACAGUUGAAUUUCUCAGAUCGGAUAUGUGGCUCUCACAAGCUUGAGUCUUAGAGACACCAAGACUGAUCUGUUGGUUCAGGCGAUUACAUGGUACAGGUAUUCAGUUUUUUCCCCUUCUUAAAGAAGAAGGGAUGGAGUAUGGGGGAAAAUUGGAAAAGCAAUAGGGAAAUGGUAAAUAUGUAUGUGAACAACUCCCAAAAUUCUGUGCUUGAGGCCAAAUGAUUGUGGGAUAUAAACCUUAUCAGAAAGCAUUCUUGCAGAGAAGGGGAUAAACCCUCACUACUAAUCUCUUUACACUUGCCUAAACUUCAUGCAUAUCAGUUGUAAAAAAAAAAUCGAUCCCCCUCCCAAGAAAAUGGAUUAUUUCUUUUAACUUUCACAGAUGCAAAGUUUCAGUGGUCUGAUCUUGCACAACAGUUCAUCCCCAAAACUCCGUGGAGCCCGGAAAUCCCUAAAAGGAUAAAUUCAAAUAGUUGUCAAGCCCAGAUCAGCUGGUUUUCUCUGUAAUAAGCAAUAAGAGCACAUAAAGCUUUGGAGAGCUUCUGUUCAACCAUUUCAAAACUCCCUGCUUGGGCGGUGAUGGCAUAAUCGUCAGCAUAGAUGAAAUUCUCUGUCCCUUUUGGCAGUGGCUGGUCAUUUGUGUAACUAUUAAGUAUUGAUGGAGCAAGCACACUCCCCUGAAGCAGGCUGUUCUUCUGUUUUUUGCCAUCUGCUUCUCUGACCCUGGAACUCAACAAAAAAACCCUCCUGUUUUGCAGCAGAUUUCCUAUGAAGCGGGUGAGGUGGUAAUCCUUUGGGAUAUUUAUAAAAGCAUACGUCUCAUUGCUUUUCAGAAGAAGGCAAUGAUUUACAGUAUCAUAUGCUGCUGACAGGUUUAUGAAGACAGCUCCUGCAAUCUGCUGCCUUUCAAAACCAUCUU
This 1254-nucleotide long non-coding RNA is filed under the name Anolis carolinensis (green anole). Its description in RNAcentral is "lncRNA (ENSACAG00000042250.1)". The record is from RNAcentral. Lineage: Eukaryota; Metazoa; Chordata; Lepidosauria; Squamata; Anolidae.